UACGUAGGGUGCAAGCGUUAAUCGGAAUUACUGGGCGUAAAGCGUGCGCAGGCGGUUAUAUAAGACAGAUGUGAAAUCCCCGAGCUUAACUUGGGAACUGCAUUUGUGACUGUAUAGCUAGAGUACGGCAGAGGGGGAUGGAAUUCCGCGUGUAGCAGUGAAAUGCGUAGAUAUGCGGAGGAACACCGAUGGCGAAGGCAAUCCCCUGGGCCUGUACUGACGCUCAUGCACGAAAGCGUGGGGAGCAAACAGG
This 253-nucleotide ribosomal RNA is filed under the name uncultured bacterium. Its description in RNAcentral is "partial 16S ribosomal RNA". It matches the Rfam family "Bacterial small subunit ribosomal RNA", at positions 524 to 776 of the family's 1533-position model. The record is from RNAcentral.